This 484-nucleotide ribosomal RNA is filed under the name uncultured bacterium. Its description in RNAcentral is "partial 16S ribosomal RNA". It matches the Rfam family "Bacterial small subunit ribosomal RNA", at positions 30 to 507 of the family's 1533-position model. The record is from RNAcentral.
AUUGAACGCUGGCGGCAGGCCUAACACAUGCAAGUCGAGCGGAUGAAGGGAGCUUACUCCUGGAUUCAGCGGCGGACGGGUGAGUAAUGCCUAGGAAUCUGCCUGGUAGUGGGGGAUAACGUCCGGAAACGGGCGCUAAUACCGCAUACGUCCUGAGGGAGAAAGUGGGGGAUCUUCGGACCUCACGCUAUCAGAUGAGCCUAGGUCGGAUUAGCUAGUUGGUGGGGUAAAGGCCUACCAAGGCGACGAUCCGUAACUGGUCUGAGAGGAUGAUCAGUCACACUGGAACUGAGACACGGUCCAGACUCCUACGGGAGGCAGCAGUGGGGAAUAUUGGACAAUGGGCGAAAGCCUGAUCCAGCCAUGCCGCGUGUGUGAAGAAGGUCUUCGGAUUGUAAAGCACUUUAAGUUGGGAGGAAGGGCAGUAAGUUAAUACCUUGCUGUUUUGACGGUACCAACAGAAUAAGCACCGGCUAACUUCGUG